AGCUCGAAGAGCUUACGGGUGAGCCACCGGUCAAUCCCUGGGACACUAGCGAGUCCUUAAAAGCUCCCGAUCGGAGAUCCAUGGGAAUAGAUGGACUUUCUCUAGGACCUAUUCAAGCUUCCUUCUCAGGCUCCUCUUCUCCUUAUAUACUGACGAAUCCGAAUGCUUCUAUUCCCCUUCAUAAGUUCUAUCCUCACUUUGCUUCCUUUAGGCGUCCCCAAGAGACUUGUUAACGGAGUAAAUAUACUGAGUGACCCAUGCCUUUCUUGGUUGUAAAAACCCAACCUAAUCUUUCUAACUAAGAGCAGAUUUGCCGCAACGCAAACAGCUUAUUCAAUGCCAA
Molecule: unclassified non-coding RNA, 343 nt
Filed under: Hevea brasiliensis (rubber tree)
Lineage: Eukaryota; Viridiplantae; Streptophyta; Magnoliopsida; Malpighiales; Euphorbiaceae
Source: RNAcentral